This 375-nucleotide unclassified non-coding RNA is filed under the name uncultured Gammaproteobacteria bacterium. RNAcentral describes it as "contains 16S-23S intergenic spacer region". Lineage: Bacteria; Pseudomonadati; Pseudomonadota; Gammaproteobacteria. The record is from RNAcentral.
UCCGGCUUGUCACCGGCAGUCUCCUUAGAGUUCCCAACUAAAUGAUGGCAACUAAGGACAAGGGUUGCGCUCGUUGCGGGACUUAACCCAACAUCUCACGACACGAGCUGACGACAGCCAUGCAGCACCUGUCUCUCGGUUCCCGAAGGCACCAAGUCAUCUCUGACAAGUUCCGAGGAUGUCAAGGGUAGGUAAGGUUCUUCGCGUUGCAUCGAAUUAAACCACAUGCUCCACCGCUUGUGCGGGCCCCCGUCAAUUCAUUUGAGUUUUAACCUUGCGGCCGUACUCCCCAGGCGGUCAACUUCACGCGUUAGCUGCGCCACCAAAACCCGAAGGCCCCGACGGCUAGUUGACAUCGUUUACAGCGUGGACUAC